This 465-nucleotide ribosomal RNA is filed under the name uncultured bacterium. RNAcentral's name for it is "partial 16S ribosomal RNA". It matches the Rfam family "Bacterial small subunit ribosomal RNA", at positions 28 to 507 of the family's 1533-position model. The record is from RNAcentral.
GACGAACGCUGGCGGCGUGCUUAACACAUGCGAGUCGAACGGAAAGGCCCCUUUGGGGGUACUCGAGUGGCGAACGGGGGAGUAACACGUGAGUAACCUGCCCUUGACUUCGGGAUAACUUCAGGAAACUGGGGCUAAUACCGGAUAGGAAUCCUUGCUGCAUGGUGGGGGUUGGAAAGCUUCGGCGGUUUUGGAUGGACUCGCGGCUUAUCAGCUUGUUGGUGGGGUAGUGGCUUACCAAGGCUUUGACGGGUAGCCGGCCUGAGAGGGCGACCGGCCACAGUGGGACUGGGAUACGGCCCAGACUCCGACGGGAGGCAGCAGUGGGGAAUAUUGCACAAUGGGCGGAAGCCUGAUGCAGCAACGCCGCGGGCGGGAGGACGGCCUUCGGGUUGUAAACCGCUUUCAGCAGGGGCGAAGCUUGUGGUGACGGUACCUGCAGAAGAAGCACCGGCUAACUACGUG